Molecule: ribosomal RNA, 508 nt
Filed under: uncultured bacterium
Lineage: Bacteria
Description: bacterial SSU rRNA
Rfam family: Bacterial small subunit ribosomal RNA
Source: RNAcentral
GACAAACGCUGGCGGCGUGCUUAACACAUGCAAGUCAAACGAAACAAUUGAAAGCUUGCUUUUGAAAGUCAAGUGGCAAACGGGUGAUUAACGCGUAAACAACCUGCCUUUGAAAUGGGGACAACAGUUCGAAAGGACUGCUAAUACCGAAUGUUGUAUAUUUUCCACAUGGAAAAUAUAUUAAAGAUGGCCUCUAUUUAUAACCUAUCGCUCAAAGAUGGGUCUGCGUCUGAUUAGCUAGUUGGGGGGGUAAUGGCCUACCAAGGCAACGAUCAGUACCCGGUCUGAGAGGAUGAACGGCCACAUUGGGACUGAGACACGGCCCAGACUCCUACGGGAGGCAGCAGUGGGGAAUCUUCCACAAUGGACGAAAGUCUGAUGGAGCAACGCCGCGUGAGUGAAGAAGGGUUUCGGCUCGUAAAGCUCUGUUGUCGGGGACGAACGUGAGAUACUUGAAUAAAGUGUCUUAAUGACGGUACCUGACGAGGAAGCCACGGCUAACUACGUG